This 245-nucleotide ribosomal RNA is filed under the name uncultured bacterium. RNAcentral describes it as "partial 16S ribosomal RNA". It matches the Rfam family "Bacterial small subunit ribosomal RNA", at positions 524 to 768 of the family's 1533-position model. The record is from RNAcentral.
UACGGAGGGUGCAAACGUUGCUCGGAAUCAUUGGGCGUAAAGCGCGCGUAGGCGGUUUGCUAUGUCCGGUGUGAAAGCCCUCGGCUUAACUGAGGAAGUGCACUGGAAACUGGCAAGCUAGAGUACGGAAGAGGGUCGCGGAAUUCCCGGUGUAGAGGUGAAAUUCGUAGAUAUCGGGAGGAACACCAGUGGCGAAGGCGGCGACCUGGGCCGAUACUGACGCUGAGGUGCGAAAGCGUGGGGAG